Molecule: ribosomal RNA, 253 nt
Filed under: uncultured bacterium
Lineage: Bacteria
Description: partial 16S ribosomal RNA
Rfam family: Bacterial small subunit ribosomal RNA
Source: RNAcentral
UACGUAGGGCGCAAGCGUUGUCCGGAAUUAUUGGGCGUAAAGAGCUCGUAGGCGGCCAGCUGCGUCCGCUGUGAAAUCCCGGGGCUUAACCCCGGGCGUGCAGUGGAUACGGGCUGGCUGGAGGCAGGCAGGGGAGAACGGAAUUCCUGGUGUAGCGGUGAAAUGCGCAGAUAUCAGGAGGAACACCGGUGGCGAAGGCGGUUCUCUGGGCCUGUACUGACGCUGAGGAGCGAAAGCGUGGGGAGCGAACAGG